AUGAUCAAAUUUAUGGAAUAUUUCACCGGAUGUGCACUAUCUUACCCAAUUACACAGGAAAUGAUUACUUCAUUUAGGUUUAAGUUAGCCAGCAUACUAUUAUGUUGGAAAACAAACACUGCAGCAAGGACUACAAUCGUUGAAGAAAGUAACGAUGACACUAAUGGAGAUCCUGAUGAUGUUCAAAUAUUAGAAAGCCUAGAUGAUAUAAAAAUAUCAAAGAAAAAAAUCCCAUUAUCUGUUGAAAAUAAAUACAGAUCACUAAUAUCUAUUCUUUCUAAUAUGAGUGUACAUGAAUUAACAGCUGGACUCUGUAGCUUCAUUAAAUCAAUCAAUUACACUGAGAUUUUAGAGUAA
RNAcentral lists this ribosomal RNA (357 nucleotides) under Triticum aestivum (bread wheat). RNAcentral's name for it is "partial small subunit ribosomal RNA". The record is from RNAcentral. Lineage: Eukaryota; Viridiplantae; Streptophyta; Magnoliopsida; Poales; Poaceae.